RNAcentral lists this ribosomal RNA (429 nucleotides) under Curtobacterium flaccumfaciens pv. ilicis. Its description in RNAcentral is "bacterial SSU rRNA". It matches the Rfam family "Bacterial small subunit ribosomal RNA", at positions 1050 to 1477 of the family's 1533-position model. Lineage: Bacteria; Bacillati; Actinomycetota; Actinomycetes; Micrococcales; Microbacteriaceae. The record is from RNAcentral.
UGUCGUCAGCUCGUGUCGUGAGAUGUUGGGUUAAGUCCCCGCAACGAGCGCAACCCUCGUUCUAUGUUGCCAGCGGUUCGGCCGGGGACUCAUAGGAGACUGCCGGGGUCAACUCGGAGGAAGGUGGGGACGACGUCAAAUCAUCAUGCCCCUUAUGUCUUGGGCUUCACGCAUGCUACAAUGGUCGGUACAAAGGGUUGCGAUACUGUGAGGUGGAGCCAAUCCCAAAAAGCCGGUCUCAGUUCGGAUUGAGGUCUGCAACUCGACCUCAUGAAGUUGGAGUCGCUAGUAAUCGCAGAUCAGCAACGCUGCGGUGAAUACGUUCCCGGGCCUUGUACACACCGCCCGUCAAGUCACGAAAGUUGGUAACACCCGAAGACCGGUGGCUCGUAGUCGAUUGUGGAGAAGCCGAACAUGAGUCUACUAUCG